AAGGAAUAUUGCGCAAUGGGCGAAAGCCUGACGCAGCGACGCCGCGUGGGGGAUGAAGGUCUUCGGAUUGUAAACCCCUUUCGGGAGGGAAGAUGGAGCGAGCAAUCGUUCGGACGGUACCUCCAGAAGCAGCCACGGCCAACUUCGUGCCAGCAGCCGCGGUAAUACGAAGGUGGCAAGCGUUGUUCGGAUUCACUGGGCGUACAGGGUGUGUAGGCGGUUUGGUAAGCCUUCUGUUAAAGCUUCGGGCCCAACCCGGAAAGCGCAGAGGGUACUGCCAGGCUAGAGGGUGGGAGAGGAGCGCGGAAUUCCCGGUGUAGCGGUGAAAUGCGUAGAGAUCGGGAGGAAGGCCGGUGGCGAAGGCGGCGCUCUGGAACAUACCUGACGCUGAGACACGAAAGCGUGGGGAGCAAAC
Molecule: ribosomal RNA, 415 nt
Filed under: uncultured bacterium
Lineage: Bacteria
Description: bacterial SSU rRNA
Rfam family: Bacterial small subunit ribosomal RNA
Source: RNAcentral